Molecule: ribosomal RNA, 935 nt
Filed under: Staphylococcus aureus LAMC6078
Lineage: Bacteria; Bacillati; Bacillota; Bacilli; Caryophanales; Staphylococcaceae
Also listed under: 1 other name
Description: bacterial SSU rRNA
Rfam family: Bacterial small subunit ribosomal RNA
Source: RNAcentral
AGAGUUUGAUCCUGGCUCAGGAUGAACGCUGGCGGCGUGCCUAAUACAUGCAAGUCGAGCGAACGGACGAGAAGCUUGCUUCUCUGAUGUUAGCGGCGGACGGGUGAGUAACACGUGGAUAACCUACCUAUAAGACUGGGAUAACUUCGGGAAACCGGAGCUAAUACCGGAUAAUAUUUUGAACCGCAUGGUUCAAAAGUGAAAGACGGUCUUGCUGUCACUUAUAGAUGGAUCCGCGCUGCAUUAGCUAGUUGGUAAGGUAACGGCUUACCAAGGCAACGAUGCAUAGCCGACCUGAGAGGGUGAUCGGCCACACUGGAACUGAGACACGGUCCAGACUCCUACGGGAGGCAGCAGUAGGGAAUCUUCCGCAAUGGGCGAAAGCCUGACGGAGCAACGCCGCGUGAGUGAUGAAGGUCUUCGGAUCGUAAAACUCUGUUAUUAGGGAAGAACAUAUGUGUAAGUAACUGUGCACAUCUUGACGGUACCUAAUCAGAAAGCCACGGCUAACUACGUGCCAGCAGCCGCGGUAAUACGUAGGUGGCAAGCGUUAUCCGGAAUUAUUGGGCGUAAAGCGCGCGUAGGCGGUUUUUUAAGUCUGAUGUGAAAGCCCACGGCUCAACCGUGGAGGGUCAUUGGAAACUGGAAAACUUGAGUGCAGAAGAGGAAAGUGGAAUUCCAUGUGUAGCGGUGAAAUGCGCAGAGAUAUGGAGGAACACCAGUGGCGAAGGCGACUUUCUGGUCUGUAACUGACGCUGAUGUGCGAAAGCGUGGGGAUCAAACAGGAUUAGAUACCCUGGUAGUCCACGCCGUAAACGAUGAGUGCUAAGUGUUAGGGGGUUUCCGCCCCUUAGUGCUGCAGCUAACGCAUUAAGCACUCCGCCUGGGGAGUACGACCGCAAGGUUGAAACUCAAAGGAAUUGACGGGGACCCGC